This 307-nucleotide small nuclear RNA is filed under the name Octodon degus (degu). Its description in RNAcentral is "7SK RNA (ENSODEG00000024054.1)". It matches the Rfam family "7SK RNA", at positions 1 to 284 of the family's 331-position model. Rfam says of the family: 7SK was discovered as an abundant small nuclear RNA in the mid-70s but a possible function has only recently been suggested. Two independent studies have found that 7SK RNA binds the CDK9/cyclin T complex (known as elongation factor P-TEFb). P-TEFb activates transcription by phosphorylating the C-terminal domain of RNA polymerase II. The record is from Rfam by way of RNAcentral. Lineage: Eukaryota; Metazoa; Chordata; Mammalia; Rodentia; Octodontidae.
CAAUGUGAGGGUGAUCUGGCUGUGACAUCUGUCACCCACUGAUCGCCAGAGUUGAUUCAGCUGAUCUGCCUGGCUAGGCAGGGUCCCGUUCCUCCCUCAAGGAUCCAUGUGUGUCCCUCCCAAAGCUGUGCGCUCGGUCGAAGAGGACGACCACCCCCCAACAGAGGAGGACCGUUCCUCAGUCAAGAGUAUACAAGUAGCUGCUCUCCCCUGUUAAAACCCACAAACAAGUUCUCAGAGUACAUCCAGCAGCUCUAACACUCAUACCACUGUGUUGGGGACCAUGGAGAAGGGGCCAGAAAGCACG